UACGGAGGAUGCAAGCGUUAUCCGGAUUUAUUGGGUUUAAAGGGUGCGUAGGCGGGAAAAUAAGUCAGUGGUGAAAUCCUACAGCUUAACUGUAGAAUUGCCGUUGAUACUGUUUUUCUUGAGUAUGGUCAGGGAAGGCGGAAUGUGUAAUGUAGCGGUGAAAUGCUUAGAUAUUACACAGAACACCAAUUGCGAAGGCAGCUUUCUGGCCCAUUACUGACGCUGAGGCACGAAAGCGUGGGGAUCGAACAGGAUUAGAUACCCUGGUA
RNAcentral lists this ribosomal RNA (269 nucleotides) under uncultured prokaryote. RNAcentral's name for it is "partial 16S ribosomal RNA". It matches the Rfam family "Bacterial small subunit ribosomal RNA", at positions 524 to 792 of the family's 1533-position model. The record is from RNAcentral.